AUAUCAAUAAGCGGAGGAAAAGAAACCAACAGGGAUUGCCCUAGUAACGGCGAGUGAAGCGGCAACAGCUCAAAUUUGAAAUCUGGCUCUUUCAGAGUCCGAGUUGUAAUUUGCAGAGGGCGCUUUGGCUUUGGCAGCGGUCCAAGUUCCUUGGAACAGGACGUCACAGAGGGUGAGAAUCCCGUACGUGGUCGCUAGCUAUUGCCGUGUAAAGCCCCUUCGACGAGUCGAGUUGUUUGGGAAUGCAGCUCUAAAUGGGAGGUACAUUUCUUCUAAAGCUAAAUAUUGGCCAGAGACCGAUAGCGCACAAGUAGAGUGAUCGAAAGAUGAAAAGCACUUUGGAAAGAGAGUCAAACAGCACGUGAAAUUGUUGAAAGGGAAGCGCUUGCAGCCAGACUUGCUUGCAGUUGCUCAUCCGGGCUUUUGCCCGGUGCACUCUUCUGCAGGCAGGCCAGCAUCAGUUUAGGCGGUGGGAUAAAGGCCUCUGUCAUGUACCUCUCUUCGGGGAGGCCUUAUAGGGGAGGCGACAUACCACCAGCCUGGACUGAGGUCCGCGCAUUCGCUAGGAUGCUGGCGUAAUGGCUGUAAGCGG
RNAcentral lists this ribosomal RNA (592 nucleotides) under uncultured fungus. RNAcentral's name for it is "eukaryotic LSU rRNA". It matches the Rfam family "Eukaryotic large subunit ribosomal RNA", at positions 40 to 647 of the family's 3401-position model. Lineage: Eukaryota; Fungi. The record is from RNAcentral.